GGGAUGGUCUGUAUGUCAAGUGUGUUGCUGAUUGGUCAGUAAAUAAAUCACUGAUUGGCCAUUGGCUAGGCAGGAAGUAUAGGCAGGACAAGGAGAAGAAUUCUGGGAAGUGGAAGGCGGAGAGAGAGACAUUGCCAGCCGCCAUCAUGACAAGCCUCAUGGGAAGAUCCCGAAAGCCAGAGGCUAUGGAUUUGUUCAAGAUUAAGAUACAUCAGGUUUGACCAGCCAAGACCCCCUGAAAGGUCUCCGAUGACACCAUGGCCCUGAUGAUCCAACAUCCAGAAUGGUUUCAAGGCAACUGGCUCAGACGACAUACCCUCAUGGACUAUUCCAUAAUUCUAAAAUUUUCUUUGUAUCCCUAUAAGAUACAGUGCCCCCCUCCAGCAGGAAGUAAUAAGAGAAACUACACCCAAAUUCCCAAAUAUACCAAGCUGACUUUGGAGAUAUGUAAA
Molecule: long non-coding RNA, 452 nt
Organism: Peromyscus eremicus (cactus mouse)
Lineage: Eukaryota; Metazoa; Chordata; Mammalia; Rodentia; Cricetidae
Exons: 2
Source: RefSeq, a predicted model, not a curated record